GGGGAAUAUUGGGCAAUGGACGCAAGUCUGACCCAGCAACGCCGCGUGAAGGAGGAAGGCUUUCGGGUUGUAAACUUCUUUUAAGGGGGAAGAGUAGAAGACGGUACCCCUUGAAUAAGCCACGGCUAACUACGUGCCAGCAGCCGCGGUAAUACGUAGGUGGCAAGCGUUGUCCGGAUUUACUGGGUGUAAAGGGCGUGUAGCCGGGAAGGCAAGUCAGAUGUGAAAUCUGGAGGCUCAACCUCCAAACUGCAUUUGAAACUGCUUAUCUUGAGUGUCGGAGAGGUAAUCGGAAUUCCUUGUGUAGCGGUGAAAUGCGUAGAGAUGUGGAGGAACACCAAUGGCGAAGGCAGCCCCCUGGGUCGAUACUGACGCUCAUGCACGAAAGCGUGGGGAGCAAACA
RNAcentral lists this ribosomal RNA (403 nucleotides) under uncultured Oscillibacter sp. RNAcentral describes it as "bacterial SSU rRNA". It matches the Rfam family "Bacterial small subunit ribosomal RNA", at positions 356 to 774 of the family's 1533-position model. Lineage: Bacteria; Bacillati; Bacillota; Clostridia; Eubacteriales; Oscillospiraceae. The record is from RNAcentral.